Molecule: non-coding RNA, 88 nt
Organism: Ustulina deusta
Lineage: Eukaryota; Fungi; Ascomycota; Sordariomycetes; Xylariales; Xylariaceae
Source: the annotation of a GenBank genome assembly
GCUCCAGUAGAGUAGUAGUUAACUCAUUUCCCUCCCAUUCCCAAGGGCAAGGAAGGAAAGGACCCGGGUGCAAAUCCCGGCUGGUGCA